UUUUCCAGACGCUGAUUCGUGAUGCUUGGAAAGCUAUUAUCUCCUGCUAAGCUGCAUGGGACGUCUGCAAACCAUCGUGAUGGUGAUAAGAGGAGCGUGAGAUGGGUCCUGUGUGUGCUCUGGCAAUCGAGAUGUAACCCAUAUUUGGAUUGGAAAGUACGUCAGAAAACACAAUGCUCCGGAUGCCCUCAACAGACUCUGUUUGUGGAGAUCCAGAGAUAGGUAGACUAUGCCUCAGUUCACCUUUGCCUGCUUCUGCGGCCUUCAUGGCCUCUGCGGAAGGAAAAAGAAGAAAAAGGAGCAAGAGAGACAACCACAACAGGACUAUGAAACUGAGGUUUGAAAUGAUGUCUGGACUGGGAAGAUUCUCAAGGUUUCAGUAGCUUACAAAGGG
This 394-nucleotide long non-coding RNA is filed under the name Sinocyclocheilus grahami. RNAcentral describes it as "lncRNA (ENSSGRG00000014586.1)". Lineage: Eukaryota; Metazoa; Chordata; Actinopteri; Cypriniformes; Cyprinidae. The record is from RNAcentral.